This 496-nucleotide ribosomal RNA is filed under the name uncultured bacterium. Its description in RNAcentral is "partial 16S ribosomal RNA". It matches the Rfam family "Bacterial small subunit ribosomal RNA", at positions 28 to 506 of the family's 1533-position model. The record is from RNAcentral.
GAUGAACGCUGGCGGCGUGCCUAAUACAUGCAAGUAGAACGCUGAAGGAAGGAGCUUGCUCUUUCCGGAUGAGUUGCGAACGGGUGAGUAACGCGUAGGUAACCUGCCUGGUAGCGGGGGAUAACUAUUGGAAACGAUAGCUAAUACCGCAUAACAGUAGAUGUUGCAUGAUAUCUACUUAAAAGGUGCAAUUGCACCACUACCAGAUGGACCUGCGUUGUAUUAGCUAGUUGGUGAGGUAACGGCUCACCAAGGCGACGAUACAUAGCCGACCUGAGAGGGUGAUCGGCCACACUGGGACUGGGACACGGCCCAGACUCCUACGGGAGGCAGCAGUAGGGAAUCUUCGGCAAUGGACGGAAGUCUGACCGAGCAACGCCGCGUGAGUGAAGAAGGUUUUCGGAUCGUAAAGCUCUGUUGUAAGAGAAGAACGAGUGUGAGAGUGGAAAGUGCACACUGUGACGGUAUCUUACCAGAAAGGGACGGCUAACUACGU